RNAcentral lists this ribosomal RNA (245 nucleotides) under uncultured bacterium. Its description in RNAcentral is "partial 16S ribosomal RNA". It matches the Rfam family "Bacterial small subunit ribosomal RNA", at positions 527 to 771 of the family's 1533-position model. The record is from RNAcentral.
GGAGGAUCCGAGCGUUAUCCGGAUUUAUUGGGUUUAAAGGGAGCGUAGGCCGGCUUUUAAGUCAGCUGUGAAAGUCCGCGGCUCAACCGUGGAAUUGCAGUUGAAACUGGAGGCCUUGAGUGCACACAGGGAUGCCGGAAUUCAUGGUGUAGCGGUGAAAUGCUUAGAUAUCAUGAAGAACUCCGAUCGCGAAGGCAAGUGUCCGGGGUGCAACUGACGCUGAGGCUCGAAAGCAUGGGUAGCGA